RNAcentral lists this ribosomal RNA (460 nucleotides) under uncultured bacterium. RNAcentral describes it as "partial 16S ribosomal RNA". It matches the Rfam family "Bacterial small subunit ribosomal RNA", at positions 338 to 795 of the family's 1533-position model. The record is from RNAcentral.
CCUACGGGAGGCAGCAGUGAGGAAUAUUGGUCAAUGGGCGCGAGCUUGAACCAGCCAAGUAGCGUGCAGGAUGACUGCCCUACGGGUUGUAAACUUCUUUUAUAAAGGAAUAAAGUGAGGCACGUGUGCCUUUUUGUAUGUACUUUAUGAUUAAGGAUCGGCUAACUCCGUGCCAGCAGCCGCGGGAAUACGGAGGAUCAGAGCGUUAUCUGGAUUUAUUGGGUUUAAAGGGAGCGUAGAUGGGUGGUUAAGUCAGUUGUGAAAGUUUGCGGCUCAACCGUAAAAGUGCAAUUGAUACUGGCAGUCGUGAGUACAGUUGAGGUAGGCGGAAUUCGUGGUGUAGCGGUGAAAUGCUUAGAUAUCACGAAGAACUCCGAUUGCGAAGGCAGCUUACGAAACUGCCACUGACAUUGAUGCUCGAAAGUGUGGGUAUCAAACAGGAUUAGAUACCCUGGUAGUC